GUUGGGUAGGGGAGCGUUCUGUAAGCCGUUGAAGGUGACCUGUGAGGGUUGCUGGAGGUAUCAGAAGUGCGAAUGCUGACAUAAGUAACGAUAAUGCGGGUGAAAAACCCGCACGCCGGAAGACCAAGGGUUCCUGUCCAACGUUAAUCGGGGCAGGGUGAGUCGACCCCUAAGGCGAGGCUGAAAAGCGUAGUCGAUGGGAAACAGGUUAAUAUUCCUGUACUUGGUGUUACUGCGAAGGGGGGACGGAGAAGGCUAGGCUAGCCGGGCGACGGUUGUCCCGGUUUAAGCAUGUAGGCGGAGUGACUUGGUAAAUCCGGUUGCUUAUCAACGCUGAGGUGUGAUGACGAGUCACUACGGUGAUGAAGUAGUUGAUGCCAGGCUUCCAGGAAAAGCCUCUAAGCAUCAGGUAACAUUAAAUCGUACCCCAAACCGACACAGGUGGUCAGGUAGAGAAUACUCAGGCGCUUGAGAGAACUCGGGUGAAGGAACUAGGCAAAAUGGUGCCGUAACUUCGGGAGAAGGCACGCUGGCAUUAGGUAAAGGGACUUGCUCCCGGCGCCGAAGCCAGUCGCAGAUACCAGCUGGCUGCAACUGUUUAAUAAAAACACAGCACUGUGCAAACACGAAAGUGGACGUAUACGGUGUGACGCCUGCCCGGUGCUGGAAGGUUAAUUGAUGGGGUCAGCCUUACGGCGAAGCUCUUGAUCGAAGCCCCAGUAAACGGCGGCCGUAACUAUAACGGUCCUAAGGUAGCGAAAUUCCUUGUCGGGUAAGUUCCGACCUGCACGAAUGGCGUAAUGAUGGCCAGGCUGUCUCCACCCGAGACUCAGUGAAAUUGAACUCGCUGUGAAGAUGCAGUGUACCCGCGGCAAGACGGAAAGACCCCGUGAACCUUUACUAUAGCUUGACACUGAACAUUGAGCCUUGAUGUGUAGGAUAGGUGGGAGGCAUCGAAGUGUGGACGCCAGUCUGCAUGGAGCCAACCUUGAAAUACCACCCUUUAAUGUUUGAUGUUCUAACUCGGCCCCGUGAUCCGGGGUGAGGACAGUGUCUGGUGGGUAGUUUGACUGGGGCGGUCUCCUCCCAAAGAGUAACGGAGGAGCACGAAGGUUAGCUAAUCACGGUCGGACAUCGUGAGGUUAGUGCAAAGGCAUAAGCUAGCUUGACUGCGAGAGUGACGGCUCGAGCAGGUACGAAAGUAGGUCUUAGUGAUCCGGUGGUUCUGAAUGGAAGGGCCAUCGCUCAACGGAUAAAAGGUACUCCGGGGAUAACAGGCUGAUACCGCCCAAGAGUUCAUAUCGACGGCGGUGUUUGGCACCUCGAUGUCGGCUCAUCACAUCCUGGGGCUGAAGUAGGUCCCAAGGGUAUGGCUGUUCGCCAUUUAAAGUGGUACGCGAGCUGGGUUUAGAACGUCGUGAGACAGUUCGGUCCCUAUCUGCCGUGGGCGUUGGAAGAUUGAGAGGGGCUGCUCCUAGUACGAGAGGACCGGAGUGGACGAAUCACUGGUGUUCGGGUUGUCAUGCCAAUGGCAUUGCCCGGUAGCUAAAUUCGGAAGAGAUAACCGCUGAAAGCAUCUAAGCGGGAAACUUGCCUCGAGAUGAGUCUUCCCUGGGGCUUUAAGCCCCCUGAAGGAACGUUAAAGACUAUGACGUUGAUAGGCUGGGUGUGUAAGUGCAGCGAUGCAUUGAGCUAACCAGUACUAAUGAUCCGUGAGGCUUAACCUU
RNAcentral lists this ribosomal RNA (1727 nucleotides) under Yersinia enterocolitica. Its description in RNAcentral is "partial 23S ribosomal RNA". It matches the Rfam family "Bacterial large subunit ribosomal RNA", at positions 1223 to 2925 of the family's 2925-position model. Lineage: Bacteria; Pseudomonadati; Pseudomonadota; Gammaproteobacteria; Enterobacterales; Yersiniaceae. The record is from RNAcentral.